Long non-coding RNA from Schistocerca cancellata (South American locust), 3231 nucleotides. RefSeq lists it as uncharacterized. The transcript has 3 exons. The record is from RefSeq and is a predicted model, not a curated record. NCBI's taxonomy places the organism in Eukaryota, Metazoa, Arthropoda, Insecta, Orthoptera, Acrididae.
UGAAGCACCAUAUGUAUUGUACAUAGUUUCUAGUUUAUCAUCUGAAGUGUAUGGUCUGGUAUAUUUUUCAUGACAAAAUUCAUUAUCUGGUGACAAAACUUAAGCCUGCUGUACAAACAAGAAGUAAGUUGAAGCUAGUUUGCAGUAGUUGAAGAUAAGCAUUAUCUGUGUUUUUUGUUUUGUUAGUGUUUCAGAAUCCUGAAUUGGAGUCCCUGGAUUUGGCACAAAGUCUGAGUUGUAGCUACAAUGUGAUGUGCUUUGUAGCACAAUUCCUAAUUCUAUCCAAGUGGUGUACAGAAAGUCAUUGCCUUCUUUACACCUGCUUGAUCUCCAUGUAUCAGAAAUUCACAACCGCCUUUUCAAUGCUCAGGAAUCUAGUUUUAGGGUGCAGAUUUUGUGAUUUUUGGCACUAUUUUAAAAUUGGGAGGAAUGCUGUUUGCACUACAAUAUGGCAAGUUUGUUACGCCAUAUUGACGGAAGUGACUCAUGUAUGGUUACAGGAUCCUACAGAUAUAAAAUGGUAAAACAUUUGACAUGUGCACACAAGUCCUGAAUCUGUACAGGUGCAGUAAAGUAGAAAGCAAAUGGCUUAUCCAUUAUGGAAGUUCAUCUAAGGCUUGUGAAGGCGUAUAAGGAGUCUGCCCUUUCAUUUCCAACUGUUAUGAAAAAGGAGCUGAAUUCAAAUGUGGUCAUAUUUUUCAUUCUGAAAAUCCGCAUGAAGAACAUCCCAAAAGUGCAACCUUAGAUGAAGAUAUCUAGAAUGUGUCCACUAACAUUUUGUGUUUUUUAGUGAUGUCUUAUUCGAAGAAAGCAUACGUUAGAUGAAGAAUGAGUCAAUCUAUAAUAGUUUAAAUUUGAGAGAUCUUUGUGCCAACCAAAAGCAGAUGAAAAACACGUAUCUCAGCAACACUAUGUGAUCAAAAAUAUCCAGACAUCUGGCUGAAAAUGAUUGACAAGUUCAUGGCAACCUCCAUUGGUAAUGCUGGGGUUUGCCCACCCUCAGCCUUGAUGGCAUCUUCCACCCUUGCAGACAUACAUUCAAUCAGAUGCUGGAAGGUUUCUUGGGGAAUGGCAGCCCAUUCUUCACGGAGUGCUGCACUGCGUAGAGCUACCGAUAUCGGUCAGUGAGGCCUGGCAUGAAGUCAGCAUUCCAAAACAUCCAAAAGGUGUUCUACAGGAUUCAGGUCAGGACUCUGGGCAGGCCUGUCCAUUACAGGGAUGUUAUUGUCAUAUAAUGACUCCACCACAGGCCGUGCAUUAUGAACAGGUGCUCGAUCGUGUUGAAAGAUGCAAUUGCCAUCCCCGAAUUGCUCUUGAACAGUGGGAAGCAAGAAUGUGCUUAAAACAUCAAUGUAGGCCUGUGCUGUGAUAGUGCCACACAGAAACACCACCACCUCCAAAUUUUACUGUUGGCACUACACACACUGGUAGAUGACGUUCACCAGGCAUUCGCCAUACCCACACCUUGCCAUUGGAUUGCCACAUUGUGUACUGUGAUUCGUCACUCCACCCAAUGUUUUUCCACAGUUCAAUUGUCCAAUGUUUACGCUCCUUACACCAAGUGAGGCAUCGUUUGGCAUUUACGGGCAUGAUGUGAGGCUUACGAGCAGCCACUUGACUAUGAAAUCAAAGUUUUCUCACCUUCCACCAAACUGUCACAGUACUUGCAGUGGAUCCUAAUGCAGUUUGGAAUUCCUGUGUGAUGGUCUGGAUAGAUAUCUGCCUAUUCAACUGUCAGCGGUCUCUGUCAGUCAACAGACGAGGUCGACUUGUACACUUUUGUGCUGCACAUGUCCCUUUACAUUUCCACUUCACUAUCACAUUGGAAACAGUGGACCUAGGGAUGUUUAGGAGUGUGGAAAUCUCGCAUACAGACCUAUGACACACGACACCCAAUCACCUGACCACAUUCAAAGUCCGUGAGUUCUGCGAAGUGCCCCAUUCUGCUCUCACGAUGUCUAAUGACUAGAGAGGUUACUGAUAUGGAGUACCGGGCAGUAGGUGGCAGCACAAUGCACCUAAUAUGAAAACAGUAUGGUUUUGGGGAUCCAGAUACUUUUGAUCACAUAGUGUAUGUUUGGACUAUGCAUAAAUCUGUUAUUGUGGAUAAGACAUGGGGAAGUUGCAUUCAUGGGUUUGAAAGGAUCUGGUCAGUGUUUUCUGAGGCAGAAAAGGAAGUAGUCUUAUUGAUCAAAAUAACUGGUGAACACUACAUCAGUCUCCUGGGACAACUAGAUGAAACAGUACAUUAAAAGGGAUCCUAGAAUUGAAAUCUUUUCAUCACAAGAAUGCACCUGCCCUCACUGAUGCUUCUGGAGGAGGAAAACAGAGGGAUUUGAGGUGUGAAAUGUUGAAACAUUUAUCCUGCUGCAUCCUCCAAUGUCCCCCUGUUCGUACUUCUAAAGACUUUUGUUGCUAGAAAAUGUUUUGAGACAGGACUGACCAGUUCUCAAUCUCGUAACGUUAUUUGCUAGACCUAGACCCAGCCAAGAGUUGCUUAUUUUCGCAAGGUGCUUGCCCCUGACAACUACUUGGAGGCAGUGGCAAAUAACCAAAUAACAUUACUGCUCUGCUGCAUACCACGAAUACUGAUUGUUGUCAGAAUGAAACUGUCUUAUUAUUAACCACAAUAUAGGCACACAGUAGUUAAUUUUGAUAAACAUUAACCCUAGCAAUACCAAAACAUUUUCAAUAAUGUAUACCACCAAUAGGAGCACAUAAACUGUUAAUUGUAAUUGAGUGUUAUUAACAACGUGCGUUUUCAAGAGAUACUGAUGUGCAAGUAAGAUUCAGAACCAGGAAAUAUCUUUCAGUGCUAUUAUUUAUUCAAUAAGACGUUCAUUGCACUAUCUCAAUUACAUCAAUCUUUGGAUUAAUUUUAAUUGUAAACCGUAAAACAAUGAUAGAAUCUGGUAGAAGAAUUCAUUAAAGAAAUAUUUUUCAAAAUUUUUAGUUUAUGACUAGAUUACAAUAUUUACAAAAGGUGGGCAUAAUGUACUCCCACUGCUAUUGCUUGGGUUAAUGAAUUCAUAAGGCAAAGAAGCUAUCAACUCAGUUGUAUUUAAUGUACCGUCAGUUCAUCUUUCGGCUUAAGAGAGAUCUCAUCAAAAUGUAAUUACUGUCAUUAAUGGUUAUAGAGUAUUAAUUUUCCGAUGCUCAUAUUUCAUUUCUCCAGUUUGUUAUCUUAAGUCUCAUAUUUUGUAAGUGGUGAAUAUUUUGUAAGUGGUAAAC